UACGGAGGGGGCAAGCGUUGUUCGGAGUCACUGGGCGUAAAGGGCGCGUAGGCGGUGCGUAAAGUCAGGCGUGAAAGCCCCGGGCUUAACCUGGGAAUUGCGCUUGAUACUGACGUGCUAGAGAACGGGAGAGGAUGGCGGAAUUCCCAGUGUAGAGGUGAAAUUCGUAGAUAUUGGGAAGAACACCGGUGGCGAAGGCGGCCAUCUGGACCGUUUCUGACGCUGAGGCGCGAAAGCGUGGGGAGCAAACGGG
Molecule: ribosomal RNA, 253 nt
Filed under: uncultured bacterium
Lineage: Bacteria
Description: partial 16S ribosomal RNA
Rfam family: Bacterial small subunit ribosomal RNA
Source: RNAcentral